This 21-nucleotide small nuclear RNA is filed under the name Arabidopsis thaliana (thale cress). Its description in RNAcentral is "snRNA_14339". Lineage: Eukaryota; Viridiplantae; Streptophyta; Magnoliopsida; Brassicales; Brassicaceae. The record is from RNAcentral.
AAGGGGCCAAGGGGCUUCCAG